AACACAUGGUGAGGACACCUUCUCAAUAAGUCCUUGUAUCUCUCCCAUGCAUCGUAAAGUAUUUCUGAAACCAUCUACACAAAAGAAGAAAUAUCAUUCCUCAACUU
Molecule: non-coding RNA, 107 nt
Organism: Gossypium arboreum
Lineage: Eukaryota; Viridiplantae; Streptophyta; Magnoliopsida; Malvales; Malvaceae
Source: Rfam